GACGUAGGGCGCGAGCGUUGUCCGGAUUUAUUGGGCGUAAAGAGCUCGUAGGCGGCUUGUUGCGUCGACUGUGAAAACCCGCGGCUUAACUGCGGGCUUGCAGUUGAUACGGGCAGGCUAGAGUUCGGUAGGGGAGACUGGAAUUCCUGGUGUAGCGGUGAAAUGCGCAGAUAUCAGGAGGAACACCGGUGGCGAAGGCGGGUCUCUGGGCCGAUACUGACGCUGAGGAGCGAAAGCGUGGGUAGCAAACAGG
This 253-nucleotide ribosomal RNA is filed under the name uncultured bacterium. RNAcentral's name for it is "partial 16S ribosomal RNA". It matches the Rfam family "Bacterial small subunit ribosomal RNA", at positions 524 to 776 of the family's 1533-position model. The record is from RNAcentral.